This 494-nucleotide ribosomal RNA is filed under the name uncultured bacterium. RNAcentral describes it as "partial 16S ribosomal RNA". It matches the Rfam family "Bacterial small subunit ribosomal RNA", at positions 28 to 507 of the family's 1533-position model. The record is from RNAcentral.
GACGAACGCUGGCGGCGUGCUUAACACAUGCAAGUCGAACGGAAAGGCCUGCUUUCCCUUGUGGAUUGCGGGUACUCGAGUGGCGAACGGGUGAGUAACACGUGAGUGAUCUGCCCCCAACUUGGGUAUAAGCCUGGGAAACUGGGUCUAAUUCCCGAUAGGACUGCAGGGUGGUGCCUGUGGUGGAAAACGAUUUUCUAGUGGUUGGGGAUGAGCUCGCGGCCUAUCAGCCUGUUGGUGGGGUAAUGGCCUACCAAGGCGGCGACGGGUAGCCGGCCUGAGAGGGUGGACGGCCACAUUGGGACUGAGAUACGGCCCAGACUCCUACGGGAGGCAGCAGUGGGGAAUAUUGCACAAUGGGCGGAAGCCUGAUGCAGCGACGCGGCGUGGGGGAUGACGGCCUUCGGGUUGUAAACUCCUUUCGACCGCGAGGAAGCCACCUGGUUGGAAGGGUGGUGACGGUAGUGGUAGAAGAAGCACCGGCUAACUACGUG